Molecule: long non-coding RNA, 1577 nt
Filed under: Macaca mulatta (Rhesus monkey)
Lineage: Eukaryota; Metazoa; Chordata; Mammalia; Primates; Cercopithecidae
Description: lncRNA (ENSMMUG00000062641.1)
Source: RNAcentral
AAAGCAGAAGUAAGGGUGCUAUGGAAAAUGUCAAAAGCUGACUUAAAUAGGGAGUGAGGGAAGAAUACUUUACCUUCAAUUUUGCAGCGACUGCAUCCUCAGGAAAUAUAGCUUCUGCGGUUUGUCCUUCAGGUAAGUAGAGUCCAGUACUCACCCAGGAAUGUCUGUUAUCUGAUAAGAACCAUGGGAAAGGUUGAGAUCUUCCCAUCCCCAUGGCUCCACAUUGGUGGAGAAUUCCCGUAAUCGCUUCCAGAGCUAGUGGAUCUCCCGUGCACACCUCAACCCAGCCAGACUGCCCUAACUGAGGCCUCCCAUACCUCACUUACAAUUCCUGGUCUCCAUCUCCUUAAAAGUUUAUGAGAAAGAAUGACGAUGUGGUUUGGUUCUGUGUCUCCACCCAAAGCUCAUCUUAAAUUGUAAUCCCCAUGUGUCAAGGGAGGAACCUGGUGGGAGGUGAUGGGAUUAUGGGGGAUGGUUUCCCCAUGCUGUUCUUGUGAUAGUGAGUGAGUCUCCUGAGAUCCGAUGGUGUAAAAAGUGGCAGUUCUUCCUCUGCUUGCACUUCCCUUCUCCCUCUUGCUGCCUUGGGGAAGAAGGGGCCCACUUCCCCUUUGCCUUCUGCCAUAAUUGUGAGUUUCCUGAGGCCUCCCCAGCCAUGCAGAACUGAGUCAACUAAACCUCUUUCCUUUACAGAUUACACAGUAUCAGGCUUUUAUUUAUAGCAGUGGGAAAAUGGACUAAUACAAAUGGCCUUCAUGAGGAAGAGGGUCCCUAGAAUGCCGCUGAAGUUAUUCAGUCCACCACUUCUGCAAUCCUACACUUCCGUAUCCUCUCUCACCAGUCUAUACCUUCACUGAUCUCAAUGCUGAUUGGAGAUUCUGUGAAACAGACAGAAGAGGGAGUCCAAUCAUGAAGCAGCAAGGAGCUGUCAGUUCCUGAUUUGACCAUUUCUUAUGCCAAGGAUAUCAGACAGAGUGAUCCUGCUCCUCUGUGGAAGAAGUUGCUAUAAGAUUUCCUCUGGCUUCAUCACCACCCUGCUGCCCCACUUUCCAUUCAGACAUACCCUCACCCAGGGGUCCCACUCCAUGCCUGGGGAAGGAAAUCCCUGAAUUACGGACAUAGACUGUAACAUGUUGCAGUCUCCCUGCUGUCCCUGGACUACGUUGCCUUAGAUUUCAUUCAUUUACUCCAUGUUUAUUUAGCACUUACUGUAAGCCAGAUAUUGCACUAUAUGCUAGUGAUCCGGUGGUAAGCAAAAUAGACACGAUUCUUGUUUCCCAUGAAUUUUAUAGUUGUUUUCUCCACUUAUCCACCAUCUCUUUCUAACUAUUUAGAACUGGGAGGCACAAUAGCAAAUAAAACAGAAAAAUAACCUGUUCUGAAGGCAUUUAAUACUCAGUGCCUAGCACAGAAAAACCAGAAGAUGUUGUCCCUUAUCCAUAGCAUGUAAGAUUUAGAAUUACAUCGGCUACUUGUAACUCUUCCAUUACACAGUGAUCAAUUUCUUCUCUGCUAGACUGAAAGCUCCUUGAAAAUGGGGAUAUAGGACUGACAUUUAACAUGCUUCAGACUCCUUUUAG